GAGGGUAUAGCUCAGAGGUAGAGUGCAUGCCUAGCACACACAAGGUCCUGGGUUCUGGGUUCAAUCCCCAGCACCUCCA
This 79-nucleotide transfer RNA is filed under the name Camelus bactrianus (Bactrian camel). It matches the Rfam family "tRNA". From Rfam's summary of the family: Transfer RNA (tRNA) molecules are approximately 80 nucleotides in length. RNAcentral also lists the same sequence under 2 other names. Lineage: Eukaryota; Metazoa; Chordata; Mammalia; Artiodactyla; Camelidae. The record is from Rfam by way of RNAcentral.